GGGCCGGGGCGUCAGGGCUACCCGUUUAUUACAUUAACACUAGUGCUGUCCGAGCAAUGUCCGAGCCUCUAGUAUUUGUAGAAACUCGAGUCCUUUGAGUCUGAAUUGACUCACUGACUCACGCUAGAAGAACAGCUCCUUUUUACAAGACUGCGCUUUUAAAACUUCUUCCAAGUCGAGUCCUUUGUAGUCUUUUUUAAGAGCAACUCAAAAGGACUGGAGCCUUCAAAUAAAGACGCCGUGAACAAUUUUGUAAGUAUUUCCUAUAUAACAGUAAAUAAAUUAAUCGUAAUUGUAUGAUUUCUGUACGCAUCUUAUCUACAAAUUAUACAUAAAGACAAUGUAUUUAGAUUUUUUUUGUAAAAAAAAACGAGAGUUCUCUGAAAAGUACUCAAGUCUCUACAAGAGACUUGGGUCUCUAUCUAGUUGAAAAGAACUCGAAAUUAAACUUAAUUAUAAGAGUCUGAAAACUCAACUCAGUCUUCAAGCAGAGGAUUGUAAGGGCUCGAGUACUGCCCAGCACUAUCCGAGCUGACCGGGACGUCCGAGCUGACUGUUCGUGACAAAUGUCAUAAUAAAUGUCAAUCAGAUUGAAAAAAAUGGUUCGAUCGAAAGCAAGCGGAUAUGGAAGGAAAUAAUAAAAUCAAAAUAUUGGCCCUGGCUGCCUUAAUGACUGAUGAAGAGGCUACUGCACAUUCUAGGUAAUGGGGCGUACAUGCACUUUGGUCGACACGUUCGGAAAAAUGAGAAUACACAGCAUGAUGUAAAGAGCUUUAUGUACUGAUAUGACCCAAGACUCUUUCGAAGCCGUUCACUACAGAAUUAAACAACGUUUAACAAAAACAAAAACUCUGGAUCUCUGCUUAAGGUAAGAUAUGGAAAUACAAUGCAUGUACCUACUAAUAAAUAUGUAUAAUCAAGUGCCGAAACAUAUUAAGCUAUUAAGAGGAAAGGGAAUGACCGAUUCUCCAUACAAACAUAGUUCCCGUUUUCCUGACUGGAUAUUGAUAUUAUGGAAUAUUUAAGUAGCCUUCAGCAAACUGUAGUGAUACCCAAUGCAUUUUGUUACAUUCCACAAUUGUAGAUUUUUCAGCUUAUCGGGUUUUGACAUUAUUUUCUCCCAUCAAUCCGACGUUCUUCAGUGUUCAUGUGUUCAGUUCAGAUUUGUUCAGUUCCAGGAACGCAUAAGAAACGAGUUUAAAACAGAAGAAAUUUACAAUGGCUGCGAGAAUGUAACAAAAAUUUAAAGUAUCGAUAUAAGAUAAUUAUCUUCAAGCUGUUUUCGGCCACAGCGAAUACAAUACAGCACUAAAAAUGUCGGUGGUGCGCACUCAAUAAAAUAAGCAGUUCAUAUUACGAGUGACGUGACUAUAUCAUCAUAUCAGCCUUUUGUUACCCACUGCUGAGCAUAGUCGAGACAGAUCAUCCACUCCAGAUGCAACCCUAAUACUGACCACGAUCCUCAGACAUGAGGGACCGACCAAAGAGAGAGCUGAGCAUAGGCCUCUCUUCGAAUACGCCACUUAUCCCGGUCCCAAGCCAAUCUCAUCCAGAAGUGACCCGCAGUCUUCCACCCAACGAGCUAACGGACGCCAGGCACUCCUUUCGUCUGUAUGCGGCCACCAUUCCGUUAACAUUUUGGCCCACCUGCCAUCACUCUGCCUGACAACUUGUCCCGCCCAGCUCCAUUUAAGUUUGGUAAUGACGUAUCCGACUUCUUGCAACUUGGUGCGAUGUCGAAUCUCUACAUUCCUCACUCGAUCUUGUAGUUUGAUGCCGACCAUGGCGCGCUCCAUGGCUCUUUGUGCCACUUAGAUUUUAUGCAUGACGUGACUAUAUAGAAAAAUAAAAAUAAAAAUAAA
This is a long non-coding RNA of Cydia fagiglandana, 1862 nucleotides long. RefSeq lists it as uncharacterized. The record is from RefSeq and is a predicted model, not a curated record. The transcript is spliced from 2 exons. NCBI's taxonomy places the organism in Eukaryota, Metazoa, Arthropoda, Insecta, Lepidoptera, Tortricidae.